Small nucleolar RNA from Pteropus vampyrus (large flying fox), 204 nucleotides. Its record names the gene SNORA73. It matches the Rfam family "Small nucleolar RNA SNORA73 family". From Rfam's summary of the family: U17 (SNORA73A and SNORA73B) also known as E1 belongs to the H/ACA class of small nucleolar RNAs (snoRNAs). Vertebrate U17 is intron-encoded and ranges in length from 200-230 nucleotides, longer than most snoRNAs. Lineage: Eukaryota; Metazoa; Chordata; Mammalia; Chiroptera; Pteropodidae. The record is from Ensembl.
GCAACGUGGAUACCCCGGGAGGUCACUCUCCCCGGGCUCUGUCCAGGUGGCGUAGGGGAGCAUAGGGCUCUGCCCCGUGAUGUACAGUCCCUUUCCACAACGUUGGAGAUGAAGCCGGGCCUUGAGUCUGCGCCUGCAUAUUCCUACAGCUUCUCAGAGUCCUUUGGACAAUGACUGAGGAGAUAAACCAUGCAGGAAACAGCU